Molecule: ribosomal RNA, 706 nt
Filed under: uncultured Bacilli bacterium
Lineage: Bacteria; Bacillati; Bacillota; Bacilli
Description: bacterial SSU rRNA
Rfam family: Bacterial small subunit ribosomal RNA
Source: RNAcentral
GAUGAACGCUGGCGGCGUGCCUAAUACAUGCAAGUCGAGCGAACGGACGAGAAGCUUGCUUCUCUGAUGUUAGCGGCGGACGGGUGAGUAACACGUGGAUAACCUACCUAUAAGACUGGGAUAACUUCGGGAAACCGGAGCUAAUACCGGAUAAUAUUUUGAACCGCAUGGUUCAAAAGUGAAAGACGGUCUUGCUGUCACUUAUAGAUGGAUCCGCGCUGCAUUAGCUAGUUGGUAAGGUAACGGCUUACCAAGGCAACGAUGCAUAGCCGACCUGAGAGGGUGAUCGGCCACACUGGAACUGAGACACGGUCCAGACUCCUACGGGAGGCAGCAGUAGGGAAUCUUCCGCAAUGGGCGAAAGCCUGACGGAGCAACGCCGCGUGAGUGAUGAAGGUCUUCGGAUCGUAAAACUCUGUUAUUAGGGAAGAACAUAUGUGUAAGUAACUGUGCACAUCUUGACGGUACCUAAUCAGAAAGCCACGGCUAACUACGUGCCAGCAGCCGCGGUAAUACGUAGGUGGCAAGCGUUAUCCGGAAUUAUUGGGCGUAAAGCGCGCGUAGGCGGUUUUUUAAGUCUGAUGUGAAAGCCCACGGCUCAACCGUGGAGGGUCAUUGGAAACUGGAAAACUUGAGUGCAGAAGAGGAAAGUGGAAUUCCAUGUGUAGCGGUGAAAUGCGCAGAGAUAUGGAGGAACACCAGUGGC